CCAGGACACAAACACUUUGGUGGAAAGCUGCUGCCAUCUCAUGUGACAAAAGCAGCGAGCUACAUGCAGCCAGGCUGUCUUCCUUCAGGAAUCUAUGGAGAAAAUUGCUGCCCCACAUCUCCAGCACUAAGUCCAGGACAGACCUGUGCUGGCAGUGCCAAAGGAACAACAACUAUCAGGUCUUCAGAUCUGCCAGAAGCUGUUAAGUCAGCCAAGCUGAAGAAGCAAGAGCAGCAUCUCCUGCUUGUUCAGAGUGAGCGGUCUGUCUACCAGAAGAUGGUUGCUGACUGCAAGACCACCUGUCAAGACCUGCAGUUGUCUCUGGGGGGCCCUACUGAACCAGCAAGUAAAGACAUCAGGAUGCAUUACAGCUUUGGUUUUGCUCAACAAGUGCACUAUCCUUCUGACCCUAUGCAGCCAGGUCCUAUCUACUUUUUAACUCCUCGCAAGGGUGGCUUGUUUGGUGUCUGAUGUGAAGGAAUACCACAACAAGUCAACUACUUGAUUGAUGAAGGCAUGUCAUCCAGCAAAGGCAGCAGCACAGUCAUCAACUACAUGCACCAUUUCUUCACCAACUACGGAGUUGGGGAAACACGUGUGGACCUGAAUUGUGAUAACUGCAGUGGCCAAAACAAGAACAAGUUUGUGCUCUGGUAUUGUGCCUGGCGUACCAUGCACAACCUCCACCACAGUCUGGACCUUCACUUCCUGAUCACAGGCCACACCAAGUUUGCCCCCGACUGGUUCUUCAGCCUCAUCAAGCAGCGCUUCAGAAAGACCAGAGUGAACAAUUUGUCUGAGAUUGCUGGUGUUGUGAAGGACAGCACUGUGACAGGAGUCAACAUCCCACAGCUGGUUGGACUGGAGGACGGUACGGUGCUGGUGGAAAGCUAUGGCUGGCAACAACACCUGACUCCGUACUUCAGGCCGCUGCCACAGAUCAAGCAGUACCAGCACUUCAGAUGAAUAUCAUUUUCAUGGCAUUGAGAGCGACCAGACUCUCACUCUGACAGCGGGGAGAGUCAUUCAGGGGAACCAGACCCAGAGACGUCCAAACCAGCGAGACGACACCAAUGUGGAACUACUGUGUGGAAGUUUUAUCCGAUCACAACACCUGAAAUCACACAAGAGAACACACACAGGAGAAAAGCCUUACCACUGUUCCCAGUCUGGAACGUGUUUUACUCGGUUAGAGAACCUGAAAAGUCAUAAGCAAAUACACUCUGGAGAGAAGCCUUACCACGGCUCCAAAUGUCUAAUGGCUUUUACAUGGUUAGCGAACAUGAAAACGCACCAGAGGACACACACAGGAGAGAAGCCUUACCAUUGUUCCCAUUGUGGAAAUAAAUGUAGUCAUUUAGUGAGCCUGAAAAUGCAUG
Molecule: long non-coding RNA, 1379 nt
Filed under: Salmo salar (Atlantic salmon)
Lineage: Eukaryota; Metazoa; Chordata; Actinopteri; Salmoniformes; Salmonidae
Description: lncRNA (ENSSSAG00000103193.1)
Source: RNAcentral